UAGGGAAUCUUCCGCAAUGGGCGAAAGCCUGACGGAGCAACGCCGCGUGAGUGAUGAAGGUCUUCGGAUCGUAAAACUCUGUUAUUAGGGAAGAACAAAUGUGUAAGUAACUAUGCACGUCUUGACGGUACCUAAUCAGAAAGCCACGGCUAACUACGUGCCAGCAGCCGCGGUAAUACGUAGGUGGCAAGCGUUAUCCGGAAUUAUUGGGCGUAAAGCGCGCGUAGGCGGUUUUUUAAGUCUGAUGUGAAAGCCCACGGCUCAACCGUGGAGGGUCAUUGGAAACUGGAAAACUUGAGUGCAGAAGAGGAAAGUGGAAUUCCAUGUGUAGCGGUGAAAUGCGCAGAGAUAUGGAGGAACACCAGUGGCGAAGGCGACUUUCUGGUGUAACUGACGCUGAUGUGCGAAAGCGUGGGGAUCAAACAGG
This 427-nucleotide ribosomal RNA is filed under the name Actinomycetes bacterium. RNAcentral describes it as "Actinobacteria bacterium partial 16S ribosomal RNA". It matches the Rfam family "Bacterial small subunit ribosomal RNA", at positions 355 to 776 of the family's 1533-position model. Lineage: Bacteria; Bacillati; Actinomycetota; Actinomycetes. The record is from RNAcentral.